Molecule: ribosomal RNA, 253 nt
Filed under: uncultured bacterium
Lineage: Bacteria
Description: partial 16S ribosomal RNA
Rfam family: Bacterial small subunit ribosomal RNA
Source: RNAcentral
UACGAAGGAUGCAAGCGUUAUCCGGAUUUAUUGGGUUUAAAGGGUGCGUAGGCGGCCUUAUAAGUCAGUGGUGAAAUCUCGUUGCUUAACAACGAACGUGCCAUUGAUACUGUAGGGCUUGAGUACAGAUGCCGUUGGCGGAAUGUGUCAUGUAGCGGUGAAAUGCAUAGAUAUGACACAGAACACCGAUUGCGAAGGCAGCUGACGAAACUGUAACUGACGCUGAGGCACGAAAGCGUGGGGAUCAAACAGG